GAUGAAGAACGCAGCGAAAUGCGAUAAGUAAUGUGAAUUGCAGAAUUCAGUGAAUCAUCGAAUCUUUGAACGCACAUUGAGCCCUCUGGUAUUCCGGGGGGCAUGCCUGUUCGAGCGUCAUUAUAACCACUCAAGCUCUCGCUUGGUAUUGGAGUUCGCGAUCUCGCGGCUCCUAAAAUCAGUGGCGGUGCCUGUCGGCUCUACGCGUAGUAAUACUCCUCGCGAUUGAGUCCGGUAGGUUUACUUGCCAGCAACCCCCAAUUUUUACAGGUUGACCUCGGAUCAGGUAGGGAUACCCGCUGAACUUAAGCAUAUCAAUAAGCGGAGGA
Molecule: unclassified non-coding RNA, 329 nt
Filed under: soil metagenome
Description: partial contains 5.8S ribosomal RNA, internal transcribed spacer 2, and large subunit ribosomal RNA
Rfam family: 5.8S ribosomal RNA (bases 1-120)
Source: RNAcentral